RNAcentral lists this non-coding RNA (861 nucleotides) under Drosophila virilis. RNAcentral's name for it is "Eukaryotic large subunit ribosomal RNA". It matches the Rfam family "Eukaryotic large subunit ribosomal RNA", at positions 2011 to 2788 of the family's 3401-position model. The record is from Rfam by way of RNAcentral. Lineage: Eukaryota; Metazoa; Arthropoda; Insecta; Diptera; Drosophilidae.
UAACACCCAAAUGCGGGUAGAGCAUCGCUCGACGUGGAGUUGCGUCAUACAACCGGGUUCCGUGACCCAGAUUACGGAAGAGGCUUAGAUAGUCCUCGUGCCAAACCAAGGUAGAAGUCACAACCAAACAGUCGUGUCUUUAAUUGGUACCUGCGGAAUUGUUCCAAGGGGGCGGUGAUUGACGCUUGAAUUAAUCCUAUACUAGGAACCGUGAGAUUAAGCCAUCGCGGCAGGUGCUCACGUUAAGCCCACUGACUUUCAUGUCCCUAUCUACUAUCUAGCGAAACCACAGCCAAGGGAACGGGCUUGGAAUAAUUAGCGGGGAAAGAAGACCCUUUUGAGCUUGACUCUAAUCUGGCAGUGUAAGGAGACAUAAGAGGUGUAGAAUAAGUGGGAGAUAUUAGACUUCGGUUUGGUAUCGACAAUGAAAUACCACUACUCUUAUUGUUUCCUUACUUACUUGAUUAAAUGGAACGUGUAUCAUUUCCUAGCCAUUAUACGGAUAUAAUUAUUAUGUCUUAUGGUAUUGGGUUUUGAUGCAAGCUUCUUGAUCAAAGUAUCACGAGUUUGUUAUAUAAUCGCAAACAAAUUCUUUAAUGAGAGAAUGCAUUUAUGUAUUAUUGAUUUAAAAAUUUGGUAUAACUCCAAUUACUCAGGUAUGAUCCAAUUCAAGGACAUUGCCAGGUAGGGAGUUUGACUGGGGCGGUACAUCUCUCAAAUAAUAACGGAGGUGUCCCAAGGCCAGCUCAGUGCGGACAGAAACCACACAUAGAGCAAAAGGGCAAAUGCUGACUUGAUCUCGGUGUUCAGUACACACAGGGACAGCAAAAGCUCGGCCUAUCGAUCCUUUUGGUUUAAAGA